This 330-nucleotide ribosomal RNA is filed under the name uncultured eukaryote. RNAcentral's name for it is "partial 18S ribosomal RNA". It matches the Rfam family "Eukaryotic small subunit ribosomal RNA", at positions 1470 to 1796 of the family's 1831-position model. The record is from RNAcentral.
UCCUUAGAUGUUCUGGGCCGCACGCGCGCUACACUGAUGCAUUCAACGAGUCUAAAACCUGGUCUGAUAGGGCUGGGUAAUCUUUUGAAAGUGCAUCGUGAUUGGGAUAGAUGAUUGCAAUUCUUCAUCUUCAACGAGGAAUGCCUAGUAAACGCAAGUCAUCAGCUUGCAUUGAUUACGUCCCUGCCCUUUGUACACACCGCCCGUCGCUCCUACCGAUUGAAUGAUCCGAUGAAUACCAUGGAUUGAGAGUACGAAUGGGUUCGCUCAUUUCUGCUGCUCGAGAAGUGGAGUAAAUCUUAUCAUUUAGAGGAAGGAGAAGUCGUAACA